CCCUUAGAUGUCCUGGGCCGCACGCGCGCUACACUGACAUGUUCAACAAGCCUCCUAGUUCGACAGGAUUUGGGAAAUCUUUGAACGCAUGUCGUGAUAGGGAUAGAUCAUUGCAAUUAUUGAUCUUGAACGAGGAAUUCCUAGUAAACGCGAGUCAUCAGCUCGCAUUGAUUACGUCCCUGCCCUUUGUACACACCGCCCGUCGCACCUACCGAUUGAAUGUUUCGGUGAAGAUUCCGGAUAGGACUUUUUGGAUUUAUUUCAAUUUUGUCUUAAAAGCUAUCUAAACCUCAACAUUUAGAGGAAGGUGAAGUCGUAACA
This 321-nucleotide ribosomal RNA is filed under the name uncultured eukaryote. Its description in RNAcentral is "partial 18S ribosomal RNA". It matches the Rfam family "Eukaryotic small subunit ribosomal RNA", at positions 1470 to 1796 of the family's 1831-position model. The record is from RNAcentral.